Molecule: long non-coding RNA, 1276 nt
Organism: Erinaceus europaeus (western European hedgehog)
Lineage: Eukaryota; Metazoa; Chordata; Mammalia; Eulipotyphla; Erinaceidae
Exons: 3
Source: RefSeq, a predicted model, not a curated record
CGCCCCAUCUCCGACCACGCCCUUCACAGGCCGCCACGGCAAGCCCCCUCGUUAGCCAUGUCCACCUCUGACCACGCCUCCGUCUGGCCCCCAGUUGGUUCAAGUCCCCCCAAAACCCAGCUCCAGCCUUGCAGCUUCCUCCCACCUCAAGCCCAAUUUCCUUUCCCCAGGCGGCGACAGCAGGGAGCCCACUCCUCCCGCUGUACCUGCGAGGUUCUGACCUCACGCCGGCUUCACGAUGACCCCUCGCCCAGCCUUCCUCCACUCCCCCCACCCCAGUUGCUCCACGCUCCACUACACAUUCGGGGAGCCUGGGCCCCUCCGCCACCUGUUGCGUGCCAGACGCUUAGGCCAUGGCUCCUGUUGCGUGCAGGCUGCUCCCGGCCUGCCAUUCCGCAGGCUCAGGGCUCUCCGGGAAUCUCUUGGGACCCAGAGUCUGCCAGUCUGUCUAUCUCUAUCCAGGAAACCCUCUCCACCAGCUCUUUCUCCACCUUGAGAACCUUCUUUCUAGUCAUUAUCCCUGAAGCCUCUGCUCUCAUCCCCACCCCCCAGCCCCCACCCCCAGAUGCGCUGAGGCGGACAUCCCCGGGAUGUCUAAAGCCACUGGCCCUCAUCUGCACAACUCUCCACACUAGCUGGGGAAGUCGAUCGGAUGGCCCGGAUUUCCUCUGCAUUCCUUCUCGAAAAUCGAGACCCUUUGGCAAUCACUGGCUUGUGCGGGCCCCCAAGACAUCAUCAGCAAGCAAUGCUUUGCUGUGCACGGCCUUUUCCCGGAUCGAUCCCCAAUAGCACCGAGUUGCAGAUGCUACCAUCAUGCCAACCUGACUUCCCUGGGCAGAUGACCUCACCAAUGUGUCCUCGAACCCCACCUCUCCAGAGCCCUGCCCCACUAGGGAAAGACAGAAACCAGAUGGGGGUAUGAAUCAACUUGUCAACACCCAUGUCCAGUGGAGAAGCAAUUACAGGAGCCAGACCUUCCGUCUUCUACACCCCAUUAUGAUCCUGGGCCCAUGCUCCCAGAGGGGUAAAGAACAGGAUAGCAUCAUCCAUCUAUCUCACUACAAGUCUGGAUAGAGCAAAGUAUUUGGUAACUGGUUACCUCAUUCUUCCACCUGCUGGAUCCUCCCCUGCAAGUCACUGAGGAGAUUAAUGUAUGAAGAGCAAACAGCUUCUCUGGGUUCAAGGGGAAAGAAUUAUGGCUAGGGAGGUGUUGCAGUGGAUAAAGUGUUGGACUCUCAAGCACAGAGUCCUGAGUUUGAUCCCCGAGAUCGCAUGU